This is an RNA transcript of Strongylocentrotus purpuratus (purple sea urchin), 5152 nucleotides long. It is a transcript of the gene named putative sodium-coupled neutral amino acid transporter 10, with no coding region annotated. The record is from RefSeq and is a predicted model, not a curated record. The transcript is spliced from 21 exons. Lineage: Eukaryota; Metazoa; Echinodermata; Echinoidea; Camarodonta; Strongylocentrotidae.
GCUAUUUUGGUUUGACUGCGCAUGCGUUGCCACGUUCAUUUAGACUUGACUUGACUUAGCAGCAGCCGUCGUUUUGUCUGACACGUCAACUCUUUUACAUCGUUGAUAACAGCGAAAAGGUAGACCUUUACGUGUGUGUGAUACCUUAAACUUCCUGGAAGCAGCCAAACGAUGCACCAUGUGAUCAACUCCAAAUUACUUGCGAAUGAAAAAGCAUCAGUGGUACGACAAGUUUAAGAACAUAUCAGCCCACCAGGGUUUUCUUGGAGGGAAAGGAUUCAAAGACGGGGGUAGCCUCCAUACAGCAGAUCAGACUAGAACUUUGAUUUAAAGGCAGUGCUGGAAGACAUUCAAGUCUGUACUCCUUGGGCAAGUGGAAGGAAGCCCCGAUCCUGGGGCUAGUUCCCGAUCCUAGGGCUAGUUGGCGCGAGACCUGCUGGUCACCAUAGAUCUUGAAGUGACUGCACCCCUGUCUGGUGUAUCGGACACGGAUCAUUUAUACGCCAAGAUGGGGCAAACUCCGUGGUCAGCGGUCAUCAACCUUAGUAACAGCAUCAUAGGGGUCAGUGUCCUGGCCAUGCCAUGGUGUUUCAAAGAGUGUGGAGUGGUUUUGGCCAUUUUGCUGCUCUUUAUCACUGGCAUUGUGAACAAGUUCAGUUGCAACCUUCUUCUGAAAUCAAGUAAAGCUACCAGGAAAUAUUCCUAUGAAACGCUCUCUCAUCAUACUUUGGGAGGUAUGGGAAAACUUGCAGUAGAAAUUAGCGUAAUCUUAUUACUGAUGUGUACAUGCAUAGCAUUCUUUGUUAUUAUUGGUGAUCUUGGCCCAUCGUUGGUGUCAAAGUUUUGGGGCAUUGAGAAUACCUCAAACCUGAGAACAUUUAUUCUUCUGGGGACCGCCAUCUUCAUCAUCUUGCCUUUAGCCCAGAAGCGCAACGUGGAGAGCCUCAGUGCUCUCAGUACAAUGUCUAUCUGCUUUUACUUCUUCUUUGCCACAAGUGUAUUUGUUGACAGUUUACCUAGGCUAGUAUCAUUGGAAUGGAUUAAUACUGUAGUGUUUUGGAGACCAGCGGGAAUCCUGAAGGGGAUGUCUAUCUUUGCCUUGUCUAUGUGUUGUCAAGCAACAUUAUUUCCAAUUUACAAUUCUCUGCAAGAGAGAACCCCCAAGAUGAUGGAAGAUGUUGUUUCCAAGGGGGUCAACUUGGUCGCAUUCGUCUACAUGGCGAUUGGAUUCUUUGGUUACAUCACCUACUACACGGACGGUAUCAAAGGGGAUAUUCUUCUUAAUCAACCCCCUUCCUUGAUCUCGGAUGGUCUAAAGCUCGGCUUUGCCCUCUCGGUGGCCCUCAGCUUCCCCCUCUGUGUGUUCCCCUGUAGAGCGAGCAUCUUCUCGCUUCUGUGCCCAAAUGCAGACAGUAACCCCAUCACCGGUAUGACCCACAUUCCUCCGAUCAUGUUCAGAGUCAUCACGGUAGUCAUCCUUGCCAUCACACUGACCAUAGCCAUCCUCAUACCAAAUGUUGAAGUAGUGUUAAGUCUGACUGGUGCCACCAUGGGCUCUCUAGCUUGUUUCAUCUUACCAGCACUCAUCUACCAGCAUACAGUGGGCGUCCCAACAAGAUUCAUGCCAAAGGUACUGCUCAUCAUUGGCAUCUGCUUCAUGCUGUUCAGCACCUAUGACAAUGUCCGCCCCGGCCCCCAGGAUCCCCACAUCCCCGCCCCGGUGCAGGUCUUUGACAAACUGGACAAGAUUCAGAUCGCGAAGCUGGAUGAAGCCCCCGUCGACGCCCUGGUGAAGAAGCCGGAUGGUGUUCUGGAGAAGUCAGCAGAAAAAAUGGGAUUACAAGGAGAUGAUGUAAUAAAAGAGAAAGAGCCAGCAGAUGCCGGUGAUAUAAUGGCAGCUGAGAGAGGAGAUGGUGAAGUGAAGAGGCAGGAGCCACCCAUCCCUCAUGCACCUGUAGAUUUACCAGAUAGUAAAGACAAGGCGAUUGAAGACGUCCUCAAGGUGGGAGAAGGGAAGGAGGGUGAAGGAGAGAAGGAUGAAGUUCAGCUGGAGGUUCCUGAAAAGAAGGUAGAAAAGGAGAAGGAAGCCGAGGGAGAUAGAGAUGGACGGGACCUAGAAGGCGAUGCUGGUGCUGGUAAGAAGGAAUCAAAAGAGAUUGCUGGAGAGACGGAGGAAAAGUUCAAAGUUCAAGAGGAGAAACAGGAAAUACAAGAGAAAAAGCUUGAGGAACUCCAGGCUCGUCAAGUAAUCCAAGAGAGACUGAUCGUCAAACAGGCCGAGGAGUUGGAUAUACUCAAGAAAGAGCAUGAAGACGAAAAACAGAAAGAUGAAGAUUUGCAAAAUGUAGCCGUCCAGUUGCAGCAGCAGCAAUUACCACAGCAACCUGCUGUUGUAGGUGACCUGCAACAGCCAGCAGGGCCAGGGGUGCGUUUGCAACCUGUGGCAGGCGGACAACCGAUCAUCGGACAACCACUGGAAAGACAAGUUGGUGAUCAACAACUACUUGGGCAACUAGGGCAACUGCAAGUCCCUGUACAACCUGUUGGGCAACUACCGGUGGCACAACAAGCUUUGGGGCAACUUCCAGUCGCACAACAAGCUUUGGGGCAACUUCCAGUCGCACAACAAGCUUUGGGGCAACUACCAGUCGCACAACAAGCUAUGGGGCAACUUCCAGUUGCACAACAAGCUUUGGGUCAACUUCCAGUCGCACAACAAGCUUUGGGGCAACUUCCAGUUGCACAACAAGCUUUGGGGCAACUUCCAAUGGGACAAGCUGCUGUACAGCCUCUUGCUGCACAGCAACUCGCAGGACAAGGGCAACAGCAAUUUGCACAACAACAGCAGUUGGGAGCAGCAGGGCAACAAGUUGUUCAGGUCGGUAUUCAAGGUGCUGGUGGCAUGGGGCAAAAUUUACCAGUGCAACAACAGCAUGCGGGUCUAGAGGGCAUGAACCAGGUAGCAGGAAUGGGUGGAGUGCUACCACAACAGCAACAGCAACAACAACUGAUGCAAGGAGGGGUGGCACAACAACAAGGUGUCCUGCUUGAUGUUGCUGGCAUGCAAGCUGCUGCUGUAGGUGGUGGUGGUGGUUUGGGGCAAGCUAACAUUAUGCAACAACAACAGCAACAAUUUCAACAACCUCAACAGGUUCCUCUUGCUUUACAGCAGCAGCAACAACUCUUACAACAGCCACCACAACAACAACAGCAGGUACUAAUGCAGCAACAACAGGUUCCUGUACAACAGAACCAGCAACCAGCUCUGCAGAUCUUACCCGAUACAAGGGAUGGUCUGCUGGGUGGUGGUGCUGCGAUGGGACAGCAACCGCUGCAACAACAGGGCAUGGUUGGAGGAGGAGGUGACGGUAUGGUGGCUAACGCAGGGUUUGCGGACAUGAAUCAGGCCCAGGGUGGCGCCGUGGUGGUGGAAGGUGGCAUACCACAACAGCCACAACAUGUCGAGAUGUUCAGAUUUUCAAAUCCGGCAGAUAAGAUGAUUAAAUCUGCGGAUAAAGUUGCCAUUUUGGAACCCGGGCAAGACCUGAACCUGGCCGGUAUUCAGCAGAGAGUUCUCAAUCAGGCUGGAGCGGACGGAGAUAAGGAGAGCAAGAAACAAGAGAAGGAGGAGCAAAAAGAAGAGGGGAAGGAAGGAGAGAGUGAUGGAGUGAUCCAAAUUGUGGGUGAGGAGGAGGAGGCGGAGGAGGCGGAGGAAGGGAUAGGGAAAGGGAAUGGGGAUGGGGAUGUGGUCCCGGCGUUGGAGGAGGAGAGGGGCGGGGCCAUUGCAGAUUUGAAGGAUACCGGUAACCAGGAACUUGAUAAACCGGAGAAAAAGAGAAGACACAAGAAAGGGAAACGAAGUAAUGGAGAAACUGAGAGAAGAGAGGAGGAUGAGGAGGAGGAGGAGGAAGAAGAAGAGGAGGAGAAAGAAAACGAUGGGAACCAAGGAGCACCCCUAGAUGAUGCAGAACGUCCAGAAGACCAGCUCCAGGGGAUGGAAGACAAACUCCUGGAGAACCAUCUGAAGAUGAUAGAUCACCAGGAGGAGGAGGAGUUUGCUGAUCAGGAGGAUGUGAUUGAUGUCAACGAGAAAGAUGCGGAUGAGGGUAAGAUCGAGAUGAACCAGGAGCAAAAUGAUCCUCCUCAGGAGAAGAAGAUCAUCCGGAGCAGAGAGGUAAGAUGAUGGAUCUCAAGAGCUGUUCGUUUGUUUCUUUCCUGGAAACAGCACUUUCAGUAGUUCAUUAACUAACCAUAUAAUACACAUAUUUGAAAACUCGCCUUGAAAAUGCAGCUUGCACAUAUUUGAGGAAACUCUUUUAACCUAACUGGCUGAAAGAACACUAUCAAACCAAGGAUAUACUCAUGCUUUAACAUUGAUUGCAAGAAAGGCAAUGCAAUAGGUAAGAUUAUAACAGGCCAAAUGCUCAUCCAUUUAGGCUUAUACAUGUAUUUAAUUUUGAGCUUGUAAUUACAAAUAUUGGGCAGAUUUCUCUCAUUUACUUAAAAUUUGGAGAAAAAUAUUUCUAGCAUGACAGGAUUAGGGUGUAUGGAAGUUUUAAGGAAAAUACCUGACGAUUUUCAACACACACAUGACUCCUUUUUUUUUUAAACAGUGAAAAGGAAAUUUUAAUGCUUAAAGUCCUUCACUUUGAUCACUAAUUGUCUUCAUAUUAAAGAGAAAAUUCAAAAUUGGCAACUUCACCAACCGUUACUGUAGCCCUGAAGUUUAAAGUUAACUCGAAUGUAGUCAAGUACCUUAGAAUUUCCAGUAGUGUAUGCAUGUAUGUCUCUACAAUAUAAGAAACUACAUGUAUAUUGGCUAAUAUGUUAGAUCAUUAUCUUAGGAUUAUGCAUGCUUCUUUAAUUAAUCUUUCAUUUUUACAACUUUUUAAACACAAUUAUCCUGAACAAAUUUAUUUCAAUAACUGUUUUAUUCAUCACCCAUUCAGUAUAUAUUUCUCUUUUAUCAUUACAUUCACUGCAAUUCUGUGCAAUGUGAAAUAAUUUGAGGUAUAGUAGGACUGGGGAUAAUUAUGAAGAUAAUCAUCAUCCUGUUCAGGGACCCAACAUGCAGCUGUAUCACAUGUCUUCAGAGAGCAAUGGAUCAAGAAGAAAAAAAAAUUCCAUACAUCUAUUUUUCUAUUCAAAAAAA